RNAcentral lists this transfer RNA (90 nucleotides) under bacterium. Its description in RNAcentral is "tRNA-Ser". It matches the Rfam family "tRNA". From Rfam's summary of the family: Transfer RNA (tRNA) molecules are approximately 80 nucleotides in length. Their secondary structure includes four short double-helical elements and three loops (D, anti-codon, and T loops). Further hydrogen bonds mediate the characteristic L-shaped molecular structure. tRNAs have two regions of fundamental functional importance: the anti-codon, which is responsible for specific mRNA codon recognition, and the 3' end, to which the tRNAs corresponding amino acid is attached (by aminoacyl-tRNA synthetases). tRNAs cope with the degeneracy of the genetic code in two manners: having more than one tRNA (with a specific anti-codon) for a particular amino acid; and 'wobble' base-pairing, i.e. permitting non-standard base-pairing at the 3rd anti-codon position. The record is from RNAcentral. RNAcentral also lists the same sequence under 3 other names.
GGAGAGGUGGCCGAGUGGCUGAAGGCGCUGGUUUGCUAAAUCAGUAUGCGGGUAACCGUAUCGAGGGUUCGAAUCCCUCUCUCUCCGCCA